AUACGUAGGUGACAAGCGUUAUCCGGAUUUACUGGGCGUAAAGGGCGUGUAGGCGGUCUUGCAAGUCAGAAGUGAAAUUCCUGAGCUCAACUCGGGCGCUGCUUCUGAAACUGCAGGACUUGAGUGCUGGAGGGGAUAGCGGAAUUCCUAGUGGAGCGGUAAAAUGCGCAGAUAUUAGGAAGAACACCGGUGGCGAAGGCGGAUAUCUGGACAGUAACUGACGCUGAGGCGCGAAAGCGUGGGGAGCAAACAGGAUUAGAUACCCUGGUAGUCCACGCCGUAAACGAUGAGUGCUAAGUGUUGGAGGGUUUCCGCCCUUCAGUGCUGCAGCUAACGCAUUAAGCACUCCGCCUGGGGAGUACGGCCGCAAGGCUGAAACUCAAAGGAAUUGACGGGG
Molecule: ribosomal RNA, 397 nt
Filed under: uncultured bacterium
Lineage: Bacteria
Description: partial 16S ribosomal RNA
Rfam family: Bacterial small subunit ribosomal RNA
Source: RNAcentral